This is a small nuclear RNA of Centruroides sculpturatus (bark scorpion), 164 nucleotides long. RefSeq annotates it as U1 spliceosomal RNA. The transcript has a single exon. Lineage: Eukaryota; Metazoa; Arthropoda; Arachnida; Scorpiones; Buthidae. The record is from RefSeq and is a predicted model, not a curated record.
AUACUUACUUUGCGUCGAGAUCACCCAUGAUCAAGAAGGUGGGGGUCUCUAGGUAGAGACUUAACCAUUGCAUUUGGGUUGAGUUGACACCUGCCACUAUUCCAAAGUGGAAUAGAUGGGGCGUGAAAUUUUUGUGUGCGGGGACUGCGUACGCGCUGUCCCUU